RNAcentral lists this ribosomal RNA (253 nucleotides) under uncultured bacterium. RNAcentral's name for it is "partial 16S ribosomal RNA". It matches the Rfam family "Bacterial small subunit ribosomal RNA", at positions 524 to 776 of the family's 1533-position model. The record is from RNAcentral.
UACGUAGGGAGCUAGCGUUGUCCGGAAUCAUUGGGCGUAAAGCGCGCGUAGGCGGCCCGGUAAGUCCGCUGUGAAAGUCAAAGGCUCAACCUUUGAAUGUCAGCGGAUACUGCCGGGCUAGAGUCCGGAAGAGGCGAGUGGAACUCCUGGUGUAGCGGUGGAAUGCGCAGAUAUCAAGAGGAACACCUGCGGCGAAGGCGGGUUGCUGGGCCGACACUGACGCUGAGGCGCGAAAGCCAGGGGAGCGAACAGG